GACAGUCUCGGUUCGGAUUGAAGGCUGAAAUUCGCCUUCAUGAAGCCGGGAAUUGCUAGUAAUGGCAGGUCAGCAUACUGCCGUGAAUACGUUCCCGGGCCUUGUACACACCGCCCGUCACACCAUGAGAGUUGGGAAUACCCGAAGCCUGUGAGCUAACGUUAAGAGGCAGCAGUCGAAGGUAGAAUCAAUGAUUGGGGUGAAGUCGUAACAAGGUACC
Molecule: ribosomal RNA, 220 nt
Filed under: uncultured bacterium
Lineage: Bacteria
Description: partial 16S ribosomal RNA
Rfam family: Bacterial small subunit ribosomal RNA
Source: RNAcentral